GGAAACGUGACCGAGUGGCCGUAGGUGCUCCCCUGCUAAGGGAGUAUGGGGUGUAGAGCAUCAUCGAGGGUUCGAAUAACUCCGUUUCCGCCA
Molecule: transfer RNA, 93 nt
Filed under: Hydrogenophaga sp.
Lineage: Bacteria; Pseudomonadati; Pseudomonadota; Betaproteobacteria; Burkholderiales; Comamonadaceae
Description: tRNA-Ser
Rfam family: tRNA
About the family: Transfer RNA (tRNA) molecules are approximately 80 nucleotides in length. Their secondary structure includes four short double-helical elements and three loops (D, anti-codon, and T loops).
Source: RNAcentral